RNAcentral lists this transfer RNA (84 nucleotides) under Ailuropoda melanoleuca (giant panda). It matches the Rfam family "tRNA". Rfam says of the family: Transfer RNA (tRNA) molecules are approximately 80 nucleotides in length. Their secondary structure includes four short double-helical elements and three loops (D, anti-codon, and T loops). Further hydrogen bonds mediate the characteristic L-shaped molecular structure. tRNAs have two regions of fundamental functional importance: the anti-codon, which is responsible for specific mRNA codon recognition, and the 3' end, to which the tRNAs corresponding amino acid is attached (by aminoacyl-tRNA synthetases). tRNAs cope with the degeneracy of the genetic code in two manners: having more than one tRNA (with a specific anti-codon) for a particular amino acid; and 'wobble' base-pairing, i.e. permitting non-standard base-pairing at the 3rd anti-codon position. Lineage: Eukaryota; Metazoa; Chordata; Mammalia; Carnivora; Ursidae. The record is from Rfam by way of RNAcentral.
GCCUGGGUGGCUCAGUCAGUUAAGCGUCUGUCUUCAGCUCAGGUCAUGAUCCCAGGGUCGUGGGAUCGAGCCCCACAUCGGGCU